UGGGGAAUAUUGCACAAUGGGCGCAAGCCUGAUGCAGCCAUGCCGCGUGUGUGAAGAAGGCCUUCGGGAUGUAAAGCACUUUCAGCGGGGAGGAAGGCGAUAAGGUUAAUAACCUUGUCGAUUGACGUUACCCGCAGAAGAAGCACCGGCUAACUCCGUGCCAGCAGCCGCGGUAAUACGGAGGGUGCAAGCGUUAAUCGGAAUUACUGGGCGUAAAGCGCACGCAGGCGGUCUGUCAAGUCGGAUGUGAAAUCCCCGGGCUUAACCUGGGAACUGCAUUCGAAACUGGCAGGCUAGAGUCUUGUAGAGGGGGGUAGAAUUCCAGGUGUAGCGGUGAAAUGCGUAGAGAUCUGGAGGAAUACCGGUGGCGAAGGCGGCCCCCUGGACAAAGACUGACGCUCAGGUGCGAAAGCGUGGGGAGCAAACAGG
Molecule: ribosomal RNA, 429 nt
Filed under: Chloroflexota bacterium
Lineage: Bacteria; Bacillati; Chloroflexota
Description: Chloroflexi bacterium partial 16S ribosomal RNA
Rfam family: Bacterial small subunit ribosomal RNA
Source: RNAcentral